UCCCAUUGAUCCUGUGGGAGGCUGCUGCUAUGAGGAUUCGGCUAAGCCAUGCAAGUCAAGGGGGAGCAAUCCACCGGCAAACUGCUCAGUAACACGUCGAUAAUCUAACUUUAGGUCAGGGAUAGCCUCGGGAAACUGAGAGUAAAACCUGAUAGGAAGAAAAAUCUGGAAGGAUUUUCUUCUCAAACUACGGGCCUAAAGAUGAGUCGGCGGCGGAUUAGGCUGUUGGCGGGGUAACGGCCCACCAAACCGAAGAUCCGUACGGGCCUUGAGAGAGGUAACCCGGAGAAGGACACUGAGAUACAGGUCCUAGCCCUACGGGGUGCAGCAGGCGCGAAAACUUUGCAAUGCACGAAAGUGUGACAAGGGAAUCCUCAGUGCCUAUACAAAGUAUAGGCUUUUGCCAAGUGUAAGUAGCUUGGCGAAUAAGUGGUGGGCAAGACUGGUGCCAGCCGCCGCGGUAACCCCAGCGCCACGAGUGGGAGCCACAUUUAUUUGGUCUAAAGCGUUCGUAGCAGGUUUGGUAAAUCUUUUGUGAAAUUGUCAUGCUUAACAUGACAGAUGGCAGAAGACACUGCUAAACUAGGGACCGGGAGGAGUUAGGGGUAUUUCACGGGGAGCGGUAAAAUGCUAUAAUCCGUGAAAGACCACCUGUGGCGAAGGCGCCUAACCAGAACGGAUCCGACUGUGAGGAACGAAAGCUAGGGGAGCAAUCCGGAUUAGAUACCCGAGUAGUCCUAGCCGUAAACGCUGUGUGCUAGGUGUCACGUAUUCUAUAGGAAUGCGUGGUGUCAAAGCGAAGGCGAUAAGCACACCACCUGGGAAGUACGGUCGCAAGGCUGAAACUUAAAGGAAUUGGCGGGGGAGCACUACAAGGGGUGCGGCGUGCGGUUUAAUCCAAUUCAACACGGAAAAUCUCACCAGGAGCGACGGCAGGAUGAAAGUCAGAUUAAAGGUUUUACUUGACGAGCCGAGAGGUAGUGCAUGGCCGUCGUCAGCUCGUACCGUGAGGUGUCCUGUUAAGUCAGGCAACGAGCGAGACCUGUAUCCAUAAUUGCUAACGGCAGAAUCAUCUGGACCGAGCACAUUAUGGGGACUGCCUUGGAAACAAGGAGGAAGGCGCAGGCUACGGUAGGUCUGUAUGCUCCGAAUCUUCUGGGCUACACGCGCGCAACAAUGGUAAGGACAAUGGGAUACAACUCCGAAAGGAGAAGUUAAACCUCUAAACCUUAUCUUAGUCCAGAUCGAGGGCUGUAACUCGCCCUCGUGACGUUGGAAUCCCUAGUAAUCGGACGUCAAUAGCGUCCGGUGAAUAUGUCCCUGCUCCUUGCACACACCGCCCGUCAAACCAACCGAGCAGGGUUUAGGUGAGUCUUAGCUUGACUGGUUAGGCCGAAUCUAAGCUCAGUA
Molecule: ribosomal RNA, 1410 nt
Filed under: metagenome
Description: bacterial SSU rRNA
Rfam family: Archaeal small subunit ribosomal RNA
Source: RNAcentral